UACGUAUGGGGCGAGCGUUGUUCGGAAUUAUUGGGCGUAAAGGGCGUGUAGGCGGUUUCGUAAGCUUGGUGUGAAAUACUCUGGCUUAACCAGAGGAACGCAUUGGGAACUGCGAGACUAGAGUUCAGGAGGGGAAGCUGGAAUUCCAGGUGUAGGGGUGAAAUCUGUAGAUAUCUGGAAGAACACCAAAGGCGAAGGCAAGCUUCUGGACAUGGACUGACGCUGAGGCGCGAAAGCGUGGGGAG
RNAcentral lists this ribosomal RNA (245 nucleotides) under uncultured bacterium. RNAcentral describes it as "partial 16S ribosomal RNA". It matches the Rfam family "Bacterial small subunit ribosomal RNA", at positions 524 to 768 of the family's 1533-position model. The record is from RNAcentral.